RNAcentral lists this ribosomal RNA (309 nucleotides) under uncultured eukaryote. RNAcentral describes it as "partial 18S ribosomal RNA". It matches the Rfam family "Eukaryotic small subunit ribosomal RNA", at positions 1470 to 1796 of the family's 1831-position model. The record is from RNAcentral.
CCCUUAGAUGUUCUGGGCCGCACGCGCGCUACACUGACGAAUGCAACGAGCUUAUAACCUUGGCCGAAAGGUCUGGGUAAUCUCCAAAUUUCGUCGUGAUGGGGAUAGAUUAUUGCAAUUAUUAAUCUUCAACGAGGAAUGCCUAGUAAGCGCAAGUCAUCAGCUUGCGUUGAUUACGUCCCUGCCCUUUGUACACACCGCCCGUCGCUCCUACCGAUUGAAUGGUUUAGUGAGGCCUUCGGAUCCGCAACUCGUUUUGUGGAGAAGUUGGACAAACUCAGUCAUUUAGAGGAAGUAAAAGUCGUAACA